This 465-nucleotide ribosomal RNA is filed under the name uncultured bacterium. Its description in RNAcentral is "partial 16S ribosomal RNA". It matches the Rfam family "Bacterial small subunit ribosomal RNA", at positions 28 to 507 of the family's 1533-position model. The record is from RNAcentral.
GACGAACGCUGGCGGCGUGCUUAACACAUGCAAGUCGUACGGUAAGGCCCUUUCGGGGGUACACGCGUGGCGAACGGGUGAGUAACACGUGAGUAACCUGCCCACAACUUUGGGAUAACGCUAGGAAACUGGUGCUAAUACUGGAUAUGUGCUCCUGCUGCAUGGUGGGGGUUGGAAAGCUCCGGCGGUUGUGGAUGGACUCGCGGCCUAUCAGCUUGUUGGUGGGGUAGUGGCCUACCAAGGCGGCGACGGGUAGCCGGCCUGAGAGGGUGACCGGCCACAUUGGGACUGAGAUACGGCCCAGACUCCUACGGGAGGCAGGAGUGGGGAAUAUUGCACAAUGGGCGCAAGCCUGAUGCAGCAACGCCGCGGGCGGGAUGACGGCCUUCGGGUUGGAAACCGCUUUCAGCAGGGACGAAGCUUUUUGUGACGGUACCUGCAGAAGAAGCACCGGCUAACUACGUG